RNAcentral lists this microRNA precursor (100 nucleotides) under Nomascus leucogenys (northern white-cheeked gibbon). RNAcentral's name for it is "miRNA (ENSNLEG00000034141.1)". The record is from RNAcentral. Lineage: Eukaryota; Metazoa; Chordata; Mammalia; Primates; Hylobatidae.
UGAGGCAGGAGAAUUGCUUGAACCCAGGAGGUGGAGGUUGCAGUGAGCCGAGAUCGCGCCACUGCACUCCAGCCUGGGUGACAGAGCGAGACUCUGUCUC